CUCCUGUGUAAUGACUAAGCCUAACCAAGUUUAAAAUUUUUUAGGCAAAUGAACAUGACGGAUCAUCUUUCCUGCCUUGAUUGUUUUUGACCAACGUCUGAAGUGAUAAAAGCUGAAAUGUGAAGGUUGGAGAGGAAUUAAUUCAUCCCAGAAGGAAAUGGAGAAACUUCCAGGUUAAAUCAGUGGUACACGUGGUCUUCACUGUCUGCUUCACCUAUGGGAUGGAUGACAUUGGUUUUGGAAGGCUGUUCUUGGAACCUCACAUCGCGGGAUGCUGUUUCUAUGGGAAAGUUGACUUUAACAAACAACUUAUAACUCUUGAAGCCAAAUGCAUUCUUCUCAUUAGGGACUGCCUUUAUAUAAAGAAGUUCUUGUGUGCAGCUCCCUUUAUGAGGACUUGUUCUUCUCAUCCACAGAAGCCCUUUUCAAACAGUACUGAGAAGACUGAUAAGAAGGAAAAGCAUUCACUGAAGGGUUCUCAGAAAGAAAGCAUUCGAUUUAACUACAGGCCAGUGCUGCUCUGAUUAGCACGGGCCCAGCUGACAGCAAGGUUGCCAGGCAGCACUUGUUCUGCCAAGAGUGGUGGUGGAAUGAAGCAACCAUGUGGUUUGUGUUACCAUUUUUUAGCUUUUUCAGGUUUCGAGAGGAGAACGUCACCGGCAAUGAUAAUUCAGUUUGGAAUGAAUGCAUUUUCAGGGCAGAGUUCGGCAACUGCUGACUUGUUUGAAAUCCGAACGUCCAUAGUUACAUUUUAUAAUGUGGACAGGAUAAUCCACAGGAUAUGUCAAGAUCCUACUACAUGCAAAUAAUGAAGUUUCUGGCCAAAUCCUCUUUUAGAAAAGAGAGGGAAAAAAAAAAAUCUCUCCAGCAUCUCUAAGCUGCUACUUAGAGCCUUUAUAAAGAUAGCACAGGAAAAAGAAACCAAAGUCAAACAAUAAGCUAAAUUCUGCCUUCCACUUACACCAUCUUCUAAAGUCAGUGUUGAUUUUGUUUAUAUGCCUCAAGUUAAAGCUUGUCACAAAGUAAUCAAUUUGUGUAAUUUUAUGUUAAACCAUAAAAUACAAAUGUUUUUA
Molecule: long non-coding RNA, 1073 nt
Filed under: Ursus maritimus (polar bear)
Lineage: Eukaryota; Metazoa; Chordata; Mammalia; Carnivora; Ursidae
Description: lncRNA (ENSUMAG00000023736.1)
Source: RNAcentral